UGAGGAAUAUUGGUCAAUGGACGAGAGUCUGAACCAGCCAAGUAGCGUGAAGGAUGACUGCCCUAUGGGUUGUAAACUUCUUUUAUAAGGGAAUAAAGUGAGGGACGUGUCCCUUUUUGUAUGUACCUUAUGAAUAAGGAUCGGCUAACUCCGUGCCAGCAGCCGCGGUAAUACGGAGGAUCCAAGCGUUAUCCGGAUUUAUUGGGUUUAAAGGGAGCGUAGGUUGACAUAUAAGUCAGCUGUGAAAGUUUACGGCUCAACCGUUAAAGUGCAGUUGAUACUGUAUGUCUUGAGUGUACAAGAGGUGGGCGGAAUUCGUGGUGUAGCGGUGAAAUGCAUAGAUAUAACACAGAACACCGAUUGCGAAGGCAGCUUACUAGUAUGUAACUGACGCUGAGGCACGAAAGCGUGGGGAGCAAACAGG
Molecule: ribosomal RNA, 424 nt
Filed under: uncultured prokaryote
Description: bacterial SSU rRNA
Rfam family: Bacterial small subunit ribosomal RNA
Source: RNAcentral